This 292-nucleotide ribosomal RNA is filed under the name uncultured bacterium. RNAcentral describes it as "partial 16S ribosomal RNA". It matches the Rfam family "Bacterial small subunit ribosomal RNA", at positions 505 to 796 of the family's 1533-position model. The record is from RNAcentral.
GUGUCAGCAGCCGCGGUAAUACAGAGGGUGCGAGCGUUAAUCGGAAUUACUGGGCGUAAAGCGCACGUAGUCGGCUUUGCAAGUCGGUUGUGAAAUCCCCGGGCUCAACCUGGGAACUGCAUCCGAGACUGCAUUGCUAGAGUAUGGGAGAGGAAAGCGGAAUUUCUGGUGUAGCAGUGAAAUGCGUAGAUAUCAGAAGGAACAUCAGUGGCGAAGGCGGCUUUCUGGACCAAUACUGACGAUCAGGUGCGAAAGCGUGGGGAGCAAACAGGAUUAGAUACCCUGGUAGUCC